This 403-nucleotide ribosomal RNA is filed under the name Verrucomicrobiota bacterium. RNAcentral describes it as "Verrucomicrobia bacterium partial 16S ribosomal RNA". It matches the Rfam family "Bacterial small subunit ribosomal RNA", at positions 355 to 776 of the family's 1533-position model. The record is from RNAcentral. Lineage: Bacteria; Pseudomonadati; Verrucomicrobiota.
UGGGGAAUAUUGCACAAUGGGCGCAAGCCUGAUGCAGCAACGCCGCGUGAACGAUGAAGGUCUUCGGAUCGUAAAGUUCUGUUGCAGGGGAAGAUAAUGACGGUACCCUGUGAGGAAGCCCCGGCUAACUACGUGCCAGCAGCCGCGGUAAUACGUAGGGGGCUAGCGUUAUCCGGAUUUACUGGGCGUAAAGGGUGCGUAGGCGGUCUAUUAAGUCAGGUGUGAAAGCGUGAGGCUUAACCUCAUUAAGCACUUGAAACUGAUAGACUUGAGUGAAGGAGAGGAAAGUGGAAUUCCUAGUGUAGCGGUGAAAUGCGUAGAUAUUGGGAGGAACACCAGUAGCGAAGGCGGCUUUCUGGACUGCAACUGACACUGAGGCACGAAAGCGUGGGUAGCAAACAGG